AUAUAAAAUGGUGACUUGCCUAAGAUGUUACAUGAUUCAAGAUAAUCAGGUAGUUUUAAUUUCUUCAACUGAAAACUGCCUGUUCAUAUCCUUUGACAACUUAUCAAUUGAGAAGAUACUCUGGUUUUGAAAAGAUGUUUGAGACCAACAUAAGAUAAGAUCUAUUCAUUCGAUCAAGAAUUUGUUUUAAAGGUUAGAAAAUAAAGCAUGCAUUUCUACAGUGAAAUGUGAUAUA
RNAcentral lists this long non-coding RNA (235 nucleotides) under Monodelphis domestica (gray short-tailed opossum). RNAcentral's name for it is "lncRNA (ENSMODG00000037379.1)". Lineage: Eukaryota; Metazoa; Chordata; Mammalia; Didelphimorphia; Didelphidae. The record is from RNAcentral.